RNAcentral lists this ribosomal RNA (460 nucleotides) under uncultured bacterium. RNAcentral describes it as "partial 16S ribosomal RNA". It matches the Rfam family "Bacterial small subunit ribosomal RNA", at positions 338 to 795 of the family's 1533-position model. The record is from RNAcentral.
CCUACGGGUGGCAGCAGUGAGGAAUAUUGGUCAAUGGACGCAAGUCUGAACCAGCCAUGCCGCGUGCAGGAAGACGGCCCUAUGAGUUGUAAACUGCUUUUGUACGAGGGUAAACGCAGAUACGUGUAUCUGUCUGCAAGUAUCGUAUGAAUAAGGAUCGGCUAACUCCGUGCCAGCAGCCGCGGUAAUACGGAGGAUUCAAGCGUUAUCCGGAUUUAUUGGGUUUAAAGGGUGCGUAGGCGGUCGGAUAAGUUAGAGGUGAAAUCCCGAGGCUCAACUUGGGAAUUGCCUCUGAUACUGUCAGGCUAGAGAGUAGUAGAGGUAGGCGGAAUGUAUGGUGUAGCGGUGAAAUGCUUAGAGAUCAUGCAGAACACCGAUUGCGAAGGCAGCUUACCAGGCUACUUCUGACGUUGAGGCACGAAAGCGUGGGGAGCAAACAGGAUUAGAUACCCCAGUAGUC